RNAcentral lists this ribosomal RNA (253 nucleotides) under uncultured bacterium. Its description in RNAcentral is "partial 16S ribosomal RNA". It matches the Rfam family "Bacterial small subunit ribosomal RNA", at positions 524 to 776 of the family's 1533-position model. The record is from RNAcentral.
UACGUAGGGUGCGAGCGUUAAUCGGAUUUACUGGGCGUAAAGCGUGCGUAGGUGGUUCGUUAAGUCUGUCGUGAAAGCCCCGGGCUCAACCUGGGAAUGGCGAUGGAUACUGGCGGGCUAGAGUGCGGUAGAGGAGAGUGGAAUUCCCGGUGUAGCAGUGAAAUGCGUAGAGAUCGGGAGGAACAUCAGUUGCGAAGGCGGCUCUCUGGACCAGCACUGACACUGAGGCACGAAAGCGUGGGGGGCAAACAGG